Molecule: ribosomal RNA, 690 nt
Filed under: uncultured Acidobacteriota bacterium
Lineage: Bacteria; Pseudomonadati; Acidobacteriota
Description: bacterial SSU rRNA
Rfam family: Bacterial small subunit ribosomal RNA
Source: RNAcentral
GAUCCUGGCUCAGAAUCAACGCUGGCGGCGCGCUUAACACAUGCAAGUCGAACGAGAAAGGGGAGCAAUCCCUGAGUAAAGUGGCGUACGGGUGAGUAACACGUGGGUAAUCUACCUUUUGGUGGGGAAUAACCCUGGGAAACCGGGGCUAACACCGCAUAAGCUCGAAAGAGGAAAAGAGAAAUCUGCCGAAAGAGGGGCCCGCGGCUGAUUAGCUAGUUGGUGAGGUAAAGGCUCACCAAGGCAAUGAUCGGUAGCCGGCCUGAGAGGGCACACGGCCACACUGGCACUGAAACACGGGCCAGACUCCUACGGGAGGCAGCAGUGGGGAAUCUUGCACAAUGGGGGAAACCCUGAUGCAGCGACGCCGCGUGAGUGAUGAAGCCCUUCGGGGUGUAAAGCUCUUUCGGCAGGGACGAUAAUGACGGUACCUGAAGAAGAAGCUGCGGCUAACUACGUGCCAGCAGCCGCGGUAAUACGUAGGCAGCGAGCGUUGUUCGGAGUUACUGGGCGUAAAGAGUGCGUAGGCGGUUUUCUAAGUUUGGUGUGAAAUCUCCCGGCUUAACUGGGAGGGUGCGCCGAAGACUGGAAGGCUUGAGUAUGGGAGAGGUAAGCGGAAUUCCUGGUGUAGCGGUGAAAUGCGUAGAUAUCAGGAGGAACACCUGCGGUGUAGACGGCUUACUGGACCAU